GGAUUCCUUAUCUUCCUCUAGGAAGAGCUGCAUUCAAUGUUUGGAGUACUUUUAUAAGCCAACUUGGAACUCUACCAAGAACUUCCUCGAAGGAUGUCGUGGAUCACUUUCAUACUGAGUGACCAUCCUGAUACUUGUGACUGGAGUAAUGACAUACCCAGACACAAGUGAAUGUAUGGAGGGAUUCGCUCCAUUUGAUUCACUCUGGGGUUUUUGACAAAAUGUCUUCAUCAGAACAACCUACCUCUAUGGAAAUACCUUUUCAAGAUACAAACAAAUGAGGAGUGAUGUGUAAAGAUGGCUGACUUGAAGGACCAUUUAUGAAUGGAAACCAUCUUAUACUUUCAAGAGGAAGAGGCUUGACAUUCAUGGUGCAGUCACUUAUAGAAUGACUGCUUUCCUACUUCUGCAGGGAUGAAAUCAGCAGGACUGCUUGCCAACACCAACAUCGCAAUGUUUCAGAGCCCAAUUUUCCAUAUUUUGAAACGGCUUGCAGCGAUUCCACGGAGCGAGUCAAUCUGCCAUCAACGGGGGCUUUUCUGUUUGUGGCUAAACUUUCUAUUCUGUGGCACCUCAGCUAAAUGGUGAAGGUUUAACUUUUUGAAAAUAAAUAAAAAAUGAUGGUGACUCAUA
This 633-nucleotide long non-coding RNA is filed under the name Mus musculus (house mouse). Its description in RNAcentral is "predicted gene 16311, transcript variant 2 (Gm16311)". The record is from RNAcentral. Lineage: Eukaryota; Metazoa; Chordata; Mammalia; Rodentia; Muridae.